AGGGCGAUUCAGUCGCUGGGUGUAGACCCGAAACCAAGUGAUCUACUCAUGGCCAGGAUGAAGGUGCCGUAACAGGUACUGGAGGUCCGAACCCACUAAUGUUGAAAAAUUAGGGGAUGAGCUGUGGGUAGGGGUGAAAGGCUAAACAAACUUGGAAAUAGCUGGUUCUCUCCGAAAACUAUUUAGGUAGUGCCUCAAGUAUCACCAUCGGGGGUAGAGCACUGUUAUGGCUAGGGGGUCAUCGCGACUUACCAAACCAUUGCAAACUCCGAAUACCGAUGAGUGCGAGCUUGGGAGACAGACGUCGGGUGCUAACGUCCGGCGUCAAGAGGGAAACAACCCAGACCGCCAGCUAAGGUCCCAAAGAUUGGCUAAGUGGUAAACGAAGUGGGAAGGCUAAAACAGUCAGGAGGUUGGCUUAGAAGCAGCCACCCUUUAAAGAAAGCGUAAUAGCUCACUGAUCGAGUCGUCCUGCGCGGAAGAUGUAACGGGGCUAAGCCAGUCACCGAAGCUGCGGAUAUGCGUAAGCAUAUGGUAGGAGAGCGUUCUGUAAGCCUGCGAAGGUGUCUUGUAAAGGAUGCUGGAGGUAUCAGAAGUGCGAAUGCUGACAUGAGUAGCGAUAAUGCGGGUGAAAAGCCCGCACGCCGUAAGCCCAAGGUUUCCUGUUCAACGUUCAUCGGAGCAGGGUGAGUCGGCCCCUAAGGCGAGGCAGAGAUGCGUAGCUGAUGGGAAGCAGGUUAAUAUUCCUGCACCGUCGUUAGAUGCGAUGGGGGGACGGAUCGCGGAAGGUUGUCCGGGUGUUGGAUGUCCCGGUUCUUGACCUGGAGAAGGCUGUUAGGCAAAUCCGGCAGCGUAAUUCAAGGGGUUGAGACGAGCGAGCUUGCUCGCGAAGCAAUCGGAAGUGGUUCCAAGAAAAGCCUCUAAGCUUCAGUCUAACGAGACCGUACCGCAAACCGACACAGGUGGGCGAGAUGAGUAUUCUAAGGCGCUUGAGAGAACUCGGGAGAAGGAACUCGGCAAAUUGGUACCGUAACUUCGGGAUAAGGUACGCCCCGGUAGCUUGACUGUGAACAACAGAAGGGUGAAAGGGUUGCAAUAAAAAGGUGGCUGCGACUGUUUAAUAAAAACACAGCACUCUGCAAACACGAAAGUGGACGUAUAGGGUGUGACGCCUGCCCGGUGCUGGAAGAUUAAAUGAUGGGGUGCAAGCUCUUGAUUGAAGUCCCAGUAAACGGCGGCCGUAACUAUAACGGUCCUAAGGUAGCGAAAUUCCUUGUCGGGUAAGUUCCGACCUGCACGAAUGGCGUAACGAUGGCCACACUGUCUCCUCCCGAGACUCAGCGAAGUUGAAAUGUUUGUGAUGAUGCAAUCUACCCGCGGCUAGACGGAAAGACCCCAUGAACCUUUACUGUAGCUUUGCAUUGGACUUUGAACCAAUCUGUGUAGGAUAGGUGGGAGGCUUUGAAGCGGGGACGCUAGUUCUCGUGGAGCCGUCCUUGAAAUACCACCCUGGUUUGUUUGAGGUUCUAACCUUGGCCCGUUAUCCGGGUCGGGGACAGUGCAUGGUAGGCAGUUUGACUGGGGCGGUCUCCUCCCAAAGUGUAACGGAGGAGUUCGAAGGUACGCUAGGUACGGUCGGACAUCGUGCUAAUAGUGCAAUGGCAUAAGCGUGCUUAACUGCGAGACUGACAAGUCGAGCAGGUACGAAAGUAGGACAUAGUGAUCCGGUGGUUCUGUAUGGAAGGGCCAUCGCUCAACGGAUAAAAGGUACUCUGGGGAUAACAGGCUGAUUCCUCCCAAGAGUUCAUAUCGACGGGGGAGUUUGGCACCUCGAUGUCGGCU
RNAcentral lists this ribosomal RNA (1842 nucleotides) under freshwater metagenome. RNAcentral describes it as "bacterial LSU rRNA". It matches the Rfam family "Bacterial large subunit ribosomal RNA", at positions 689 to 2537 of the family's 2925-position model. The record is from RNAcentral.